AUGCUCGACAUCCAGAAGCGGCGCGUCCAGCUUCUGCUCUUCGUCGCCGGCGUGCUCGCCCUCAGCAUGACAGCUGAGAAGUGCAGGGAACUUGUCGGAAAGGAGGCUGCAUCAAAGAGUGGGGAGUUCACACUCAUGAACUGUUUUGAUAUGGGGUCAGGCAGCCUUGCAUGCGCGGGGAAGGAGGGGGUGAAGCUGUAUGUGAACAACCUCCGAAGCGCACACAUGGAAAACGUGCGGCAGCGAGCCAUCGAGAAAGCGUUGGCUGAUGCUGUGAUAGAAGGCCUGAGUCCCGCUGAGGCAGCCAAGCAAGCUCAGAAGGUCGGGGCAAAAGCGACGAAGGUGGCCGCUCGUCAAGCGAAGAGGAUAUUGGGACCGAUAAUUUCCUCUGGCUGGGACUUCUUCGAGGCAAUGUACUUUGGCGGAAGCAUGACUGAAGGAUUUCUACGGGGCACGGGCACCUUAUUCGGAACCUAUGCGGGUGGUUUCCAUGGCGAGGAGAGGCUGGGAAAGCUUGGCUAUCUCGUUGGAAGCCAGCUAGGCAGCUGGGUUGGGGGAAGAAUCGGACUGAUGGUUUACGAUGUCAUCAACGGGUUGAACUACAUGCUUGAGUUUGUCCGUCCAGAGGAGUACCGAUCAUCAUCUUAUUAUGACUCAGAAGAGGGCUCAGAGUAUGCAGAUAACUACAGAAGUGGCGAAGUUUAUGAGCCAACAUACAGUGAGACGCCAGAAGAGGCGCAGGAGGAGGAAUCGGGGGGUUUCAGCCUGUUUUGA
This 774-nucleotide ribosomal RNA is filed under the name Triticum aestivum (bread wheat). RNAcentral's name for it is "partial small subunit ribosomal RNA". Lineage: Eukaryota; Viridiplantae; Streptophyta; Magnoliopsida; Poales; Poaceae. The record is from RNAcentral.